CGUGUAGGCGGCUUCGUAAGCUUGGUGUUAAAUUUCCUGGCUUAACCAGGGACAAGCGCUGGGAACUGCGAGGCUAGAGUUCAGGAGGGGAAGCUGGAAUUCCAGGUGUAGGGGUGAAAUCUGUAGAUAUCUGGAAGAACACCGGUGGCGAAGGCGAGCUUCUAGCCAUGGACUGACGCUGAGGCGCGAAAGCGUGGGGAGCGAACAGGAUUAGAUACCCUGGUAGUCC
RNAcentral lists this ribosomal RNA (229 nucleotides) under uncultured bacterium. Its description in RNAcentral is "partial 16S ribosomal RNA". It matches the Rfam family "Bacterial small subunit ribosomal RNA", at positions 568 to 796 of the family's 1533-position model. The record is from RNAcentral.